RNAcentral lists this ribosomal RNA (650 nucleotides) under Pichia fermentans. RNAcentral's name for it is "eukaryotic LSU rRNA". The stretch from base 138 to 650 matches the Rfam family "Eukaryotic large subunit ribosomal RNA", at positions 1 to 530 of the family's 3401-position model. The record is from RNAcentral. Lineage: Eukaryota; Fungi; Ascomycota; Pichiomycetes; Pichiales; Pichiaceae.
UCUGAGCGUCGUUUCCUUCUUGGAGCGGUGCUUCAGACCUGGCGGGCUGUCUCUCGGGACGGCGCGCCCAAAGCGAGGGGCCUUCUGCGCGAACUAGACUGUGCGCGCGGGGCGGCCGGCGAACUUAUUACCAAGCUCGACCUCAGAUCAGGCAGGAGUACCCGCUGAACUUAAGCAUAUCAAUAAGCGGAGGAAAAGAAACCAACAGGGAUUGCCCCAGUAGCGGCGAGUGAAGCGGCAAAAGCUCAGAUUUGGAAUCGCUUCGGCGAGUUGUGAAUUGCAGGUUGGCGCCUCUGCGGCGGCGGCGGUCCAAGUCCCUUGGAACAGGGCGCCAUUGAGGGUGAGAGCCCCGUGGGACCGUUUGCCUACGCUCUGAGGCCCUUCUGACGAGUCGAGUUGUUUGGGAAUGCAGCUCUAAGCGGGUGGUAAAUUCCAUCUAAGGCUAAAUACUGGCGAGAGACCGAUAGCGAACAAGUACUGUGAAGGAAAGAUGAAAAGCACUUUGAAAAGAGAGUGAAACAGCACGUGAAAUUGUUGAAAGGGAAGGGUAUUGCGCCCGACAUGGAGCGUGCGCACCGCUGCCCCUCGUGGGCGGCGCUCUGGGCGUGCUCUGGGCCAGCAUCGGUUUUUGCCGCGGGAGAAGGGCGGCG